This is a non-coding RNA of Chlorocebus sabaeus (green monkey), 1788 nucleotides long. The record is from RefSeq and is a predicted model, not a curated record. Lineage: Eukaryota; Metazoa; Chordata; Mammalia; Primates; Cercopithecidae.
UUCACCAUGUUGACCAGGCUGGUCUCAAAUUCUUGACCUCAAGUGAUUCGCCCACGUUGGCCUCCCAGAGUGCUGCAAUUACAGGCGUGAGCCACCUUGCCCAGCCCUGAGUGGGACUUAAAUGCAGAUCUAGCCUAAUUUAGAGCUCCAAGCCCGAAUCAAACUUGACUUGUAAAGCCAAUAAAAACCCCUUGGAGAAUUGGCCUCAGAUCUUGUCUGCAACAGUCCCUGUAAAGGUAAGUAAAGAAUGACCUGUGAUAAGUAAAGAAUGUCACUUUCUGACAGGUCCAGGAGUCCCAAGUUAUCUUGGGACCCCAAGAGGACAGGAAUUUACUCAAAUCAUAGAUAUUUGAGGGUACAAACACAUGGCCGAGCUUGGCUUUACAAAGUCUUAUCUAAGAUCACUUCUAUAGAGCAGAGUUCUAUCAAAGCCAAUUUAAAAAGAGCCUAUGUGAAAAAUAAUUAUUCUUGUUGCACUUUAUACAAAUAAUCAGGCCAAGUAUAACAAAGCAAAUCAGUCUUACCAUGAUUUGUCUUUAGCAAAAAUGAGAAACUGGAGAGAGUAAUAUUAUGUUUCAAGAAUUAUGGUAUACUUGUUAUUAAAUUCUAGUCUCAUUAGUUGUUUUUAAGUUUAUUUCUGCAAUUUAGGCUAACCCUGCUUGUUCCUGUAAACCAACCAAUGAUCUCUGACUGCUGCUCAGAAGAAACAAAAGGGAUGGGAACUGGCCAUAAAGAAAUUCUCUGGCAUGCCCGUCUAAUGUGGAUCAUAAGCAUCUUAUUCCAGAGGAGUCCUGCUCUAUACCCAGCAGGAAGGAAUCCUACUCAGAGAGGUCAAGAAGAAGAGAUGGAGUCUUGUUAUGUUGCCCAGGCUGGUCUUGAACUCCUGGCCUCAAGUGAUAUUCCCACCCUGGCCACCCAGAGUGCUGGGAUUACAAGUGUGAGCAACUGCGUCUGGCCUAAAGUCUAUGUCUUCUGCACAGGUUUUCUCUCUGCUCUGCUGCCGCAUCCAUGCAUGUUUAUAUAAUAAUAGCUAACUUAUAUGAAGCCACUUCUCUGUGCCUGGCAUUGUAUAUCCUUAUAAUACAUGUAUUAUUUAAUCCCUGUUGUAGAGACAGGAAAAUCGAGUCUCAGAAAGUUAAAAUUUUUUGCCCAACAUCUCACAAGUUUCAAAUGAACUCUAAUUCAGGUAGUUAAUUGUCUUAAAAGCACUCUUCUUUCCAGCAGACUUGUAAAUUUCAAAGUAAAUUGGACAUUUAGUUUAAACUUUGCAUUUUUCUGGAAAAAGAGAGGAAAAAUAGGAAAUCCUUCAUAAUUUCAAAAGUUUUAGAAUAAAUAAUAUGGGAAGAGGCUACAUUGUUAUGGAGAUCCUGGGCCAGUUAGUGAAAAUGGCUGAAUGUUACUAUUUAGUGCAUUUAAUCUACAAAUUCAGACUUCAUUUUCAAGCUUCACAUAUUUUGGAGGUAUCUGUGGAGUAUAGUUUUAUGACUAAAUUUUGUGUCCCAAGAUGCUUCCUUUACUCUUGACGCUGAAAUAACUACACUAGAUUAAAUACAGAAAGGGUUUGUAAGUCAACAUUCAAGAAAAUAACACACUGAACAUGUGGUUUUAAAUAAUGUUUUAAAGAAGAAUGAGAAGGUUAUUUUGCAAGACAGAGGGGAUUGUCACAACAUGCCCACCUGGAAUUCUAAGGCAAGAAUAUAAAUGGAGACUCAUAAAUCAUUUGUUCAAUUAUUUUCAAAUUAGUUCUUAAAAAUUUAAAGUCAAACACAAAUUAUAAGAUUGAAAAGU